This 70-nucleotide transfer RNA is filed under the name Camelus ferus (Wild Bactrian camel). It matches the Rfam family "tRNA". From Rfam's summary of the family: Transfer RNA (tRNA) molecules are approximately 80 nucleotides in length. Their secondary structure includes four short double-helical elements and three loops (D, anti-codon, and T loops). The record is from Rfam by way of RNAcentral. Lineage: Eukaryota; Metazoa; Chordata; Mammalia; Artiodactyla; Camelidae.
GGGCUUAGCUCAGUGGCAGAGUGCAGGCUUAGUUUGCCCGAGGUCCUGGGUUCAAUCCCCAGUAGUUCCA